Long non-coding RNA from Helianthus annuus (common sunflower), 915 nucleotides. RefSeq lists it as uncharacterized. NCBI's taxonomy places the organism in Eukaryota, Viridiplantae, Streptophyta, Magnoliopsida, Asterales, Asteraceae. The transcript is spliced from 5 exons. The record is from RefSeq and is a predicted model, not a curated record.
ACUAUCUAUAAUAAGAGAUGAUCCGCUGAUGUAAAACUGCCUAUGUGUCAACUCCUAAGGUAUGCCAUGUGUACAUGCUGAUGUCAUAAUUCCUUUUUGUAUAUAUAGAUUUUUCAAUUUUUAUGUAUUAUUAAUUGUUUUAUUUUAAACAUGCUUGCUGAAAUGUUUGGGCGGUGAAAUCAGUGUUCAAAAUUUUCAUUCAAAUUUCAAAAUUCAAAUCAUAACUUUAAUCCUCCUCUCUCACUCUCAAAUAUAUUCUAACCUUCAUUUUCAAAAUUCAAACCGUCAAUCUUCACACCUCUCUCUCUUCAACUUCUCAAAUCUCCUGAGUUUUCAAGUGGCACCCAGAGCAGCCGCAACCUUCCGCCGUACGCCACCACCGCCACCAAUUCCGGCCACCACUACCUCCACCUCUCUCACCGGUCAUGUUGUAAGAAAUUUUGAAAGUUGAUUCAGUUCUGAUAGAAGAUGCGCAACGUACUUAAAGUUCAGCAUAUUCAUCACGGCCGUGUAACCUGCAUCCUCACAGCCUAUUGGCGAAUGAUACAAGAAAUGUCAAAGCUCUUUAUCGGGGAGGUCAAGCAUAUAAAAAUUUAGGGCAACUGCAAGAAGCAGUGUCUCACUUGUCCAAAGCACUUGAACUUUCUCCUGAUGAUGAAACCAUUGCACAUGUUUUAAGGCUUUGCAGAGUUGCUUUUGAGAAGGAAAAGUUUCUUUUUUCACAUCAUUUAGUAAAUAAUGCAUAACUUUUACGAUAUAAACUCAAAAUCAAAAAAAAUCCUAAUUGACUUUUAAUGUAACGGUUUGAAUUCAGGAUUCUAUUAAGGGAGAUUAGAGGAUGAGCUCGAUUUGCCUACUUGUCACGUUCUUAGUUAUUAAGGGACAUUAGAGGAUGACCUCUGUUGAAGAAGCAAC